UGUGUGUGUUAGUGGAAGCGUCUGGAAAGGCGCGCGAUACAGGGUGACAGCCCCGUACACAAAAAUGCACAUGCUGUGAGCUCGAUGAGUAGGGCGGGACACGUGGUAUCCUGUCUGAAUAUGGGGGGACCAUCCUCCAAGGCUAAAUACUCCUGACUGACCGAUAGUGAACCAGUACCGUGAGGGAAAGGCGAAAAGAACCCCGGCGAGGGGAGUGAAAAAGAACCUGAAACCGUGUACGUACAAGCAGUGGGAGCACGCUUAGGCGUGUGACUGCGUACCUUUUGUAUAAUGGGUCAGCGACUUAUAUUCUGUAGCAAGGUUAACCGAAUAGGGGAGCCGAAGGGAAACCGAGUCUUAACUGGGCGUUAAGUUGCAGGGUAUAGACCCGAAACCCGGUGAUCUAGCCAUGGGCAGGUUGAAGGUUGGGUAACACUAACUGGAGGACCGAACCGACUAAUGUUGAAAAAUUAGCGGAUGACUUGUGGCUGGGGGUGAAAGGCCAAUCAAACCGGGAGAUAGCUGGUUCUCCCCGAAAGCU
This 541-nucleotide ribosomal RNA is filed under the name Escherichia coli. Its description in RNAcentral is "partial 23S ribosomal RNA". It matches the Rfam family "Bacterial large subunit ribosomal RNA", at positions 321 to 867 of the family's 2925-position model. Lineage: Bacteria; Pseudomonadati; Pseudomonadota; Gammaproteobacteria; Enterobacterales; Enterobacteriaceae. The record is from RNAcentral.